UUUCCGUAGGUGAACCUGCGGAAGGAUCAUUAGCAAAGCAGAUGGGCCUCCGGGCCCGCUUCGCAAACUUCCUACCCUGUGCAUCGUGACCCCUUUUUUCGCUCUAGUGCGAAGUAUCGAAAGAGUCUCGAAGAGCAAAAGUGAAAAGCAUAUAAAAUGAAGCAACGGAUCUCUUGGCUCUCGCAUCGAUGAAGAACGCAGC
RNAcentral lists this unclassified non-coding RNA (202 nucleotides) under uncultured fungus. RNAcentral's name for it is "sequence contains ITS1, 5.8S rRNA gene". The stretch from base 154 to 202 matches the Rfam family "5.8S ribosomal RNA", at positions 1 to 49 of the family's 154-position model. Lineage: Eukaryota; Fungi. The record is from RNAcentral.